Long non-coding RNA from Dermochelys coriacea (leatherback sea turtle), 939 nucleotides. RefSeq lists it as uncharacterized. NCBI's taxonomy places the organism in Eukaryota, Metazoa, Chordata, Testudines, Dermochelyidae. The record is from RefSeq and is a predicted model, not a curated record. The transcript is spliced from 3 exons.
GUGAAGGAAAGAAUAAUUAAAUGAAUGGAGAUAAAUGGAAAAGGGGAUGUAAUGCAAUAUAGGUUUACCAUAGGUAGAUUGUGCCAGUCUAACCUGAUUUCCUUCCUUGAGAAAAUAACUAAUUUUUUGGACAAGGGAAAUGCAGUCAACCUAAUAUACUUGGAUGUCAGCAAAGCAUUUGACAUAAUACCAUAUGGGAAAUUAUUAGUUAAAUUAGAGAAGAGGUGGAUUAGUACAGGAAUUGUAAAGUGGCUAAGGAAAUGGCUAAAGGGGAAAAAGCAACAGAUUGUGCUGAAUGGUGAACUAUCGGACUAUUGAAAGGUUACUAGAGGAAUUCCUCAAGGAUUGGUCUUGGGAAUGCUUUUAAUCAAUAUUUUUAUUAAUGACUGUCACAAAAAGUAGAAUUGUGCUAAUGAAAUUUGCUGCUGCUACCAAGUUGGGAGGCAUCAUCGGAUGACGGUAAUAUUACACAGGAAGAUCUGGAUGGUCUUGUUGUUUGGUCUGACAGAAAUUAUAUGAAAUUCAAUAGUACAAAGUGCAAGGUUAUACACUUAGGGUCCAAGAAUUUAUCCUAAAGCUGGGGGGGCUCCUUAGUUGGAAACGACAGAGGAAGAGAGAGAGCUUGGUGUAUUGGUUGAUCACAGGCUGACAGUGAGCCCCAAAUGUGAUGUGACAGUGAAAAAAAGCGAAUGUGAUCCUACGAUAUAUCAGGUAGAGAUAGAGAUGUAUUAAUGCCAUUGUACAAGGCACUGGUGAGACCUUAUCUGGAAUACUGUGACAAUUCUAGUCACCCAUGUUCAAGAAAGAUGAAUUCAAACUGAAAAAGAGCAGCUAGGAUGAUCAAGGAAAUGAAGGGCAUAUUUUAUGAGAGAAAACCAAAGGAGCUUGGGUUGGUUAGCCUAGCAAAAAAAUAAAAUAAAAGAAAUUAAAAUAAAAGGU